AACAUAAUCAUCUUGGAAGGGCGUUUGCAAUUUUUGAAUUAGGACAUGCGCAAAAACACAUUUUCAUCUUUAUUAGUUUAAGCCACAAGUUCUGAAUUUUUAAAAGCAUUUCCCCAGAUAGCGUCCUUUACAAUAGAGCGCGUGUUGAUCGGAACAUGUUGAAAAUCAUGAAGCAAAAUUUGGAGGAUCUUACCAGCCCAAAUCUAUGGCGCGCUGUAGCCGCCGAAAUGGUCGGGACUAUAUUCCUGGUCUUUUUGGGAUGUGGUGCCCAUACAUUGCAGAAUGGGCAACCAACUGCCGUUGGAAACGGGUCUGUUGUAACAACCGCAGAACCGAGUGUUGUUCAAAUUUCUCUGACAUUUGGACUUGUCGUAGGGACAAUGAUAUGGUGCAUUGCUCACAUAAGUGGUGGACAUAUUAACCCUGCAGUAACAGUGGCAGCUCUUAUUACCC
This 453-nucleotide long non-coding RNA is filed under the name Mytilus galloprovincialis (Mediterranean mussel). The record is from RNAcentral. Lineage: Eukaryota; Metazoa; Mollusca; Bivalvia; Mytilida; Mytilidae.